RNAcentral lists this ribosomal RNA (460 nucleotides) under uncultured bacterium. RNAcentral's name for it is "partial 16S ribosomal RNA". It matches the Rfam family "Bacterial small subunit ribosomal RNA", at positions 338 to 795 of the family's 1533-position model. The record is from RNAcentral.
CCUACGGGGGGCUGCAGUGAGGAAUAUUGGUCAAUGGACGAGAGUCUGAACCAGCCAAGUAGCGUGAAGGAUGAAUGCCCUAUGGGUUGUAAACUUCUUUUAUAAAGGAAUAAAACGAGGCACGUGUGCCUUUUUGCAUGUACUUUAUGAAUAAGGAUCGGCUAACUCCGUGCCAGCAGCCGCGGUAAUACGGAGGAUCCGAGCGUUAUCCGGAUUUAUUGGGUUUAAGGGGAGCGUAGAUGGGUUGUUAAGUCAGUUGUGAAAGGUUGCGGCUCAACCGUAAAAUUGCAAUUGAUACUGGCAGUCUUGAGUACAGUUGAGGUAGGCGGAAUUCGUGGUGUAGCGGUGAAAUGCUUAGAUAUCACGAAGAACCCCGAUUGCGAAGGCAGCUUACUAAACUGUGACUGACAUUGAUGCUCGAAAGUGUGGGUAUCAAACAGGAUUAGAUACCCGUGUAGUC